Molecule: ribosomal RNA, 451 nt
Filed under: uncultured bacterium
Lineage: Bacteria
Description: bacterial SSU rRNA
Rfam family: Bacterial small subunit ribosomal RNA
Source: RNAcentral
GUGGGGAAUAUUGGACAAUGGGGGGAACCCUGAUCCAGCCAUGCCGCGUGUGUGAAGAAGGCCUUUUGGUUGUAAAGCACUUUAAGCGAGGAGGAGGCUACCGAGAUUAAUACUCUUGGAUAGUGGACGUUACUCGCAGAAUAAGCACCGGCUAACUCUGUGCCAGCAGCCGCGGUAAUACAGCGGGUGCAAGCGUUAAUCGGAUUUACUGGGCGCAAAGCGCGCGUAGGUGGCCAAUUAAGUCAAAUGUGAAAUCCCCGAGCUUAACUUGGGAAUUGCAUUCGAUACUGGUUGGCUAGAGUAUGGGAGAGGAUGGUAGAAUUCCAGGUGUAGCGGUGAAAUGCGUAGAGAUCUGGAGGAAUACCGAUGGCGAAGGCAGCCAUCUGGCCUAAUACUGACACUGAGGUGCGAAAGCAUGGGGAGCAAACAGGAUUAGAAACCCCUGUAGUCC